GACGAACGCUGGCGGCGUGCUUAACACAUGCAAGUCGAACGGACAGAUAGAGAGCUUGCUCUCUUGAAGUUAGUGGCGAACGGGUGAGUAACGCGUAAUCAACCUGCCCUUCAGAGGGGGAUAACAACGGGAAACCGUUGCUAAUACCGCGUACGAUUCACGAGCGGCAUCGCUUGUGAAUGAAAGGUGGCCUCUAUAUAUAAGCUAUCGCUGAAGGAGGGGAUUGCGUCUGAUUAGCUAGUUGGAGGGGUAACGGCCCACCAAGGCAAUGAUCAGUAGCCGGUCUGAGAGGAUGAACGGCCACAUUGGGACUGAGACACGGCCCAAACUCCUACGGGAGGCAGCAGUGGGGAAUCUUCCGCAAUGGACGAAAGUCUGACGGAGCAACGCCGCGUGAGUGAUGAAGGUCUUCGGAUUGUAAAGCUCUGUUAAUCGGGACGAAAGAGUUCUGUGUAAAUAAUGCAGAAAAGUGACGGUACC
Molecule: ribosomal RNA, 480 nt
Filed under: Veillonella sp. oral taxon 780
Lineage: Bacteria; Bacillati; Bacillota; Negativicutes; Veillonellales; Veillonellaceae
Description: bacterial SSU rRNA
Rfam family: Bacterial small subunit ribosomal RNA
Source: RNAcentral